Molecule: transfer RNA, 72 nt
Filed under: Loxodonta africana (African savanna elephant)
Lineage: Eukaryota; Metazoa; Chordata; Mammalia; Proboscidea; Elephantidae
Rfam family: tRNA
About the family: Transfer RNA (tRNA) molecules are approximately 80 nucleotides in length. Their secondary structure includes four short double-helical elements and three loops (D, anti-codon, and T loops).
Source: Rfam by way of RNAcentral
ACAUCGGUAGUUCAGUAGGUAGAAUUCUCACCUUCCAUGCAGGAGACCUGGGGUCAAUUUCCAGCCAAUGCA